This 536-nucleotide ribosomal RNA is filed under the name uncultured bacterium. Its description in RNAcentral is "bacterial SSU rRNA". It matches the Rfam family "Bacterial small subunit ribosomal RNA", at positions 355 to 896 of the family's 1533-position model. The record is from RNAcentral.
UGGGGAAUAUUGCGCAAUGGGCGAAAGCCUGACGCAGCAACGCCGCGUGGGUGAUGAAGGCCUUCGGGUCGUAAAGCCCUGUCAGGUGGGAAGAACCCGGCUUUCGGGCCGCUGACGGUACCACCGAAGGAAGCACCGGCUAACUCCGUGCCAGCAGCCGCGGUAAUACGGAGGGUGCAAGCGUUGUUCGGAAUUACUGGGCGUAAAGGGCGCGUAGGCGGCCGGGCAAGUCCGGUGUGAAAGCCCGGGGCUCAACCCCGGAAGUGCAUUGGAUACUGCCUGGCUUGAGUUCGGAAGAGGAGGGCAGAAUUCCCGGUGUAGGGGUGAAAUCCGUAGAUAUCGGGAGGAAGACCAGUGGCGAAGGCGGCCCUCUGGGACGAAACUGACGCUGAGGCGCGAAAGCGUGGGGAGCAAACAGGAUUAGAGACCCUGGUAGUCCACGCUGUAAACGAUGAUUACUCGAUGUUGGCGAUAUACAGUCAGCGUCUAAGCGAAAGCAUUAAGUAAUCCACCUGGGGAGUACGGCCGCAAGGUUG